UACCGCCGCCCUCCUUGGGCGUUUCCUCCCUAGACUUGGGCCGCUAGCAUCCGCUGGCGGCCUCUUUUUUUGUGCCU
This 77-nucleotide small RNA is filed under the name Rhodovulum sp. PH10. RNAcentral's name for it is "Makes More Granules Regulator RNA (mmgR)". It matches the Rfam family "Makes More Granules Regulator RNA (mmgR)". Rfam says of the family: SuhB later renamed mmgR (makes more granules regulator) was a putative non-coding RNA found multiple times in the Agrobacterium tumefaciens genome and related alpha-proteobacteria. The record is from Rfam by way of RNAcentral. Lineage: Bacteria; Pseudomonadati; Pseudomonadota; Alphaproteobacteria; Rhodobacterales; Paracoccaceae.